RNAcentral lists this transfer RNA (72 nucleotides) under Candidatus Omnitrophota bacterium. RNAcentral's name for it is "tRNA-Thr". It matches the Rfam family "tRNA". From Rfam's summary of the family: Transfer RNA (tRNA) molecules are approximately 80 nucleotides in length. Their secondary structure includes four short double-helical elements and three loops (D, anti-codon, and T loops). Further hydrogen bonds mediate the characteristic L-shaped molecular structure. tRNAs have two regions of fundamental functional importance: the anti-codon, which is responsible for specific mRNA codon recognition, and the 3' end, to which the tRNAs corresponding amino acid is attached (by aminoacyl-tRNA synthetases). tRNAs cope with the degeneracy of the genetic code in two manners: having more than one tRNA (with a specific anti-codon) for a particular amino acid; and 'wobble' base-pairing, i.e. permitting non-standard base-pairing at the 3rd anti-codon position. The record is from RNAcentral. Lineage: Bacteria; Pseudomonadati; Candidatus Omnitrophota.
GCCGGCAUAGCUCAGGGGUAGAGCAACUCUUUCGUAAAGAGUAGGUCGUGGGUUCGACUCCCUCUGCCGGCU